Molecule: long non-coding RNA, 6033 nt
Organism: Cherax quadricarinatus
Lineage: Eukaryota; Metazoa; Arthropoda; Malacostraca; Decapoda; Parastacidae
Source: RefSeq, a predicted model, not a curated record
UGUCUGCAUUGUUCAUUCUGGACCUUAUUUUGAAAUUGUCAUAUUUUUUAGUUUUCGUGAAAUUGGCCAAAUUGCAAAUUUCUGACCACAUUAUUAGGUAGUUGAAAUCAGUAAAUGGGCAGUUUCUUGUAUUCAAUCGAUAGAAAAAAUGAAGUUCUAAAGAAAUAGCUAUGAGUUUGGGCGACUGGAACAAUGGAAUUAGCCGAAAAUAGGGCUCAAAGUGGGCGAAAUCGCCGAUUUGUAAACAGCGCCGAGGUCGCUAACUUCGCGAGAGCAUAAUUCCGUCAGUUUUCCAUCAAAUUUCGUUUUUUUGGUGUCAUUACAAUCGGGAAAAGAUUCUCUAUCAUUUCAUGAGAAAAAAUAAUUUUUUUUUUUUUGUUUAAAUUUUGCGACACCAGGAGACACCUCAGGAUUGGGGGUUGCGACAGUCAAAGGGUUAACACAUUCUGCUUUGUUUACAAUUCUCAGCAUGAAUUCUUCUCAUUACUUCUCCCUUCUUUUAUGAUGGCAUCUAAAGGUAAUUGUUAGAAAUGAUUAAACUCAGUGAGCAAGGUAUGUCAUUGGUAAUAAUAUGGCUCUGGGCUGCAUUAAAUACCCUACAUCUACCGGCUACCUACACCUUACUUCCUACAAAUAAUUAUCACCUCUUGCCCUACAUUAAGACUACAAUUUUUUUUUUUUUUUAUUAACACAUCGGCCGAUUCCCACCAAGGCAGGGUGGCCCAAAAAAGAAAAACUUUCAUCAUCAUUCACUCCAUCACUGUCUUACCUGAGGGGUGCUUUACACUACAGUUAUAAAACUGCAGCAUUAAUUCCCCUCCUUCAGAGUGUAGACACUGUACUUCCCAUCUCCAGAACUCAAGUCUGGCCUGCCGGUUUACCUGAAUCCCUUCAUAAAUGUUACUUUUCUCACACUCCAACACGUAUCAAGUAUUAAAAGUCAUUUAUCUCCAUUCACUCCUAUCAAAUACGCUCAUGCACGCUUGCUGGAAGUCCAAGCCCCUCGCACACAUAACCUCCUUUACCCCCUCCCUCCAACCCUUCCUAGGCCAACCCCUACCCCGCCUUCCCUCCACUACAGAUUUAUGCACUCUCAAAGUCAUUCUGUUUUUUUCCAUUCUUUCUACAUCUCCAAACCACCUCAACAACCCCUCCUCAGCCCUCUGGAUAAUAUGUAGUUUUGAUAAUCCACGCCGUUUCCUAAUUUCCAAACUACGAGUCUUCUGCAUUAUAUUCACACAACACAUUGCCCUCAGACAUGACAUCUCAACUGCUUCCAGCCUUCUCCUCAUUCCAACAUUCAUCACCCAUGCUUCACAUCCAUACAAGAGUGUUGGUACAACUAUACUCUCAUACAUUCCCCUCUUUGCCUCCAAGGACAAAGUUCUUUGUCUCCACAGACUCCUAAGUGCACCACUCGCCCUUUUCCCCUCAUCAAUUCUAUGAUUCACUUCAUCCUACAUAGACCCAUCUGCUGACAUGUCCACUCCUAAAUAUCUCAAUACAUUCACCUUCUCCAUACUCUCUCCCUCAAGUAUUUUAAGGAAAGUAGUGAAUUUAUUGUGUAUGUAUUUGGCUUUCUAUUGUUUUUUAAUGCCUAGUUCUACUGUUAGCUGCCAUUUGUAUGCGUUUAUAAAUGGAAAAGCCACAUUCUGCUUUCAGGCGAUGUCCGCUUUCCGGCGGUAGCCUGGAACCUAACCUACCGUAUGAGUGGGGCCCUACUGUGUGUGUGUGUGUUUUUUUUUUUUUUUAAUGUCACCCAUUUCCCACCAAUGCAGGGUGACCCAAAAGAAAGAAAAACCCAGAAAGAAAGAAAAAACUUCCAUUAUCAUUCAACACUUUCACCGUCACUCAUACAUAAUUACUGUCUUUGCAGAUGCACCCAGAUAUGACAGUUUAGAUAGUCACUCCAAACUGCCAAUAUCCCAGAAUCCCCCUUUAAAGUGCAGGCAUUGUACUUCCCAUUUCCAGGACUCAAGUCUGGCUAACUGGUUUCUCUGAAUCCCUUCACAAAAUAUUACCCUGCUCACGCUCCAACAGCUCGUUAGGUUCCAAAAACCAUUCAUCUCCAUUCGCUCCUAUCUAACACACUCGUGCAUCGUAUAUGGUGCUUGCCUCUUCUGUCAAUGGUCAGCUCAUUCCUCUUUUAUUUUUCCACCUGUGUUGAAAAAAUGUUUCCUGAUAUCUGUGACUCAUUUGGGUGUGUAAUUUCCACCCAUGCUCCCUUGUUCCUGUUGCAUCCCUGAUACACAGCUUAUCCUUGCCUACCUUGUUUAUGUUCCAUAGCAUUAUGUAUGUUAUGAUCAUAUUUCAUUUUGUCCAUUUCUCCAUUAACAUAAGGCCUAGUACUUGCAUUAUUUCUUCAUAUCUUAUCCCUCAGUUUAGGUACCAUUCUUGGAGCACUCCUUUAUACCUUCUCCAGUUUCACCUUUUUUUUUUUUACUAGGUCAGGGUUCUACAUCAGUGCCACAUGGCUCAAGAGUGGGUUGCACUUAGGUAAAGCGUGGUUUGAAUGAGUCUUUGUCUAGGUUCCUGAAUUCCAUUUUUUAUUUGCAAGCUUAGCUUGUGUUGCUGAUUUUGGGUGGUUUCCAUUGCCACUGCAAAAUAUUAAAAUUUGGGACAGCAACCUUGAUAACCAUUUUGAUAAAAAAAAAUUUUUUUGCAAUUAUGAUAUACCUGUUGUAACAAAGAUAAAUGUUCUCAAUCUGUGUUGUAGUUGCAAUUUUUAGCACAUUGAAAAAUGACUUGAACUUUCGUGUGCUUGCCUAAUGGAUUGUUUGUUUGAUGACUCUAGUGUUGAGAUUUUUUCUGGUUUGUUUGAUGUAUGAAAAUAAUCAGCCUUUGUAGGGAGUUUUGUAUAUCCCUGGCAUUCCUUGGAUAAUUAAACACUUCCCUAAAUGAUGUAGUUGCAUGGACUUUAGCUCAAAACACUCUUAAUUUUGCAUUGGACAAGCAGUGUUAUUAACUGCAAGGGAAUGAGAGAAUAUUUAUGAAUGGUUUUACAUUUUUUCAUAAUGUUGCACCCCAGCCUGAGGUCAGGUUUUCUUAAUGACUAAUCGUUUGUUCAGUCAGACUAUUGCUGCUAGUGGCUUGCAAGUUUACAGAACAAUCACAACAUGGGUGAUUAUGCUCCACCUGUGGGAAUUUGUGUAUUUCCCUCUCGAAAACUUUUGUUUGUUCUGGCGAUAUUUCUUAUACUUGCUGUUAAAAGGUCAAAGAAUCAUGGAUCUCUAAUGUUAGCAGUGUUCUGUAACUGUGUUUAUAAUAUCAAUAUUUUUUCAUUUAGUUUAUUCCACACUUGUAUUUCUCAGUUCACAAAUAACCUGCAUUUAGGAGGGUGAGAGUAAUGGCAAUGUUUUGAUCCAAACUUAUUACUACUAUCCUUUUCUCAAGUGUGAGUUAUUUGUGUAUUGUUCUAGCCAUGGUAUUGUGACUUAUUCUUUAUUUCACUCAGUUCAGUAAGUUGGUAGUUUACUGUGCAUAAUAGGGACCUGAUCAAAUAUUUACAACUUUAGUGAAACUCCCAUCUCUGUUCCAGAAUACAUUCAGAUUGUUUUGUGCUGAUAGCAGUAGUUAAGAUGACCAAUUGUUUCUGAAAGAAUUAAAUCACAUAUAUUUUCUAAUUCUGACAUCACCUGAAAUUGAAAGGAAAUUUGAGGCAGGUCAUUGUUUUAAAUGAGAGUGCAAGUGCCUUGUAAAAUGCGAUCAUCGUUGUGACAUUCCUUAUUUUGAAUUUUAAAUUUUUUUAUGACAAACUGCUGAGUUCAUUGUGGUUAUACAGCACUGAAGUUUUAAACAGUGAGGGGAAUGUCCUCCUCAUAUAAACCAAAGAAAAUGCUAGACUCUCCAUGGAUUGUGCUUGUAAGACUCAAGCCUAGUUCAAGGAAUUUUUCCCAUCUUGUAAAGGUGAACUACCUUUGAAAGAGCUCUUGUUUUGGAGGGUCUCAUAAUCAGCCCUAUCAUUUAAAUGCCUAAUGCUAUAUUUAUUUCAUUGUUCUCUCUCUUCUCAGAUAUCUUAAGCAUUACUUUUUUACUUUACUGAAACAGUUAAAAUUUAUCGCUCAUGUUGAUUUCAAUAGUACAGUGAUAGACCUUUGGGCCUAGUUUCAAAAAGUUGCAGAGGCAAUUUUUGUACUGAUUUUGGUAUCCUCCUUAAAAGAUGGUGUGACGCUGUUAGUUUUUAUAUUACUAUAAGACUGAGCAAAGGCACAAGGAUUGUGCCUUGUGUUACUGAUUUUAUUUUUUCUUACUGUAUGUAGACAUUGUUUGAUUUACUUAUUGUAACUUUUUAGAAAUCUUAUUAUAUUAUCAAAAUGCUUAUUUUACAUGUUAUUCCUUUCGACUUUGCUUCAGGAGCUAUCACUCCAUGAUCAUAUUUGUGAAGUGCCUUUGCAAAAUCUAUAUAUACAACCUCUACAUUUUAAUUUUCUUCAUGCCUCUUCAUUUUGUCAUAGUUGCCAAGUAAACCUGCCAAAAUUUUUAAAAUUUCUGACUUUGAUGAUUACAAUUGCACUCUAUAUGCCAAAAAUCUUGGUAGACCAAACUUGUCAAAACUGAGGUUUUUGGAAGAGUUGAAUCUGCAGCUACAAGGAACUUGAGAGAGCCUUCAGAUAGAGAAGAUUCCUGGUAAAUGCAGGUGUGGGAUGUAGUUUCUUAUUUCAAGCAUUGCCAGUAUCGUGGUUAAGAUUAGUUGACUCUGUAUAUGAAAUUGUAAGCACCUGUUUAAAGUGUUACCGCAGAAUCUAAAACAUUAAGAUGAGAUAGUUUAUAACCUGUGUUUUAGUACUUUUAUUGUAACUAAUAUAGAAAGAGGUAUGGUAUACAAAAAUUUUGUUACAAUAGAUUUACAACAAAAUAUAUUACUACUGUAACAAGAAAAUGAAGACUUACAAAAUCAUGAUAUCACGAUUGCAAACAAACCACAGAACGGGUGGUGUUUGAACCCAUGGCGAGUAAGUCGUAAAAUUCCAGGCCAGUGGGUUCAAACCUCACCAGUUCCAUGGUUUAUUUAGAAGAAAAUAAAAAUUAAUUGAUAAUUCCAAUGUAUUUGUACAGUCAGGAAAGUAAAUAAAAAGAAGUUAUUGUGAGGCAGGAGUCUCACCAUAUUUUGCAGUAAAGGGAUAAUUUUGGUGGUAUCUUAUGUAAUAGCUUGUAGUACAAAUAUUGGAAACAAAAUUUUAUUGGAUUCAGUAAAAUAAUGUACAUAAAUAAUUGAAGUUUUGUACACUAUAUCCAUCUGUUGCAUUAUUUUUAAUAUGUAGGAUGGAAAGGAUUACAAAUUUUGAACUUUGUUCCUUCACAUAGACUAUUAGGUAAUAGAUGAAUAAAAGCAUAGCAGUUUGUAAUUGUGGAAGGAUCAAAUAAGCUAUCAGUUCAGUAAAAUCUUUAGUUGUUAUACUAUAUUCGUUUUCACCAUAUCUGUAUUUCAUAUUAUUCUGUAAAUAAGGAUAUAUUGUAUCUAGUCUGAGACUUUGGAAGGUAGAGCAACAAUUAUCCAAAAGACAUUUAAAGUGCAACAUUGACAUUUAUCUUGAGUUGGAAAUGUGGCAUUAUGAUUGUUACUGUUAAUGAGUUUGCCAUAAUGGACUACGAAGUGCUUCACAACUGUCGCCAUGUUUUCCGGAGUAAGCCGAGAGUGCACAUCUUAGAUAAAAUGACGUUGAGGUAACACAAUGGUUGUGACUACUAUUAAGAUUUUUAAAUUAUCACAAAAAAUGUAGCAUACCUUACUGUGAAGAGACAUGUAGGUGCUAUUACUUAUUUGAGGCCUUUGACCUAAGUGCUUUAGUCUUGUGGUUGUGAUUCACACAUUUGUCAAUGAAGGUUAUCCUGCUUUAUUCUAGUUUAGACAGAUUCACAAGGUUAGUAAGCUGUAUUAGCACAUAUUAUCCUUAGCUCUAGAAUUUUAAAAAAAUAUUUAAUUUUAAAAUACUCUUGUGGGGAUUCAUGUUCCAGUGCCACCUUUAUUUUGAAAAGUAAUUGUAAAAAUGCAUGUAACAUAUUUAGAGCAUGCAAAUUAAAUAAUAUAAAUUA